Molecule: long non-coding RNA, 2868 nt
Filed under: Rattus norvegicus (Norway rat)
Lineage: Eukaryota; Metazoa; Chordata; Mammalia; Rodentia; Muridae
Description: long non-coding RNA NONRATT028671
Source: RNAcentral
CUUUGAACAACCUGUAAGAUUUCACAAAUACUAUACCUGUGGAUAUUGCUUCUAAAACAUAGGAGAAUGGUUGUAGUUGGAGUAGUACCAAGUGACCAAGCCAAAAUCAGCACCUAGGGCCUUAAGCAGAGCUACCCCACAGAAUGAGAUCCUGGGGAGGGCAGGAAGGGAGACUUGAAAAGUAUCCUGCUCCCAGGGUGCAAGGUGCAGUGGCUGUUGCUGUGCUACGUGUGUCCUUGCGUUAGUUGUUUUCCUAACUUGAGAGUUUACAUGGAAGGCAUUUCUGAUGGCUUAAAGGGAGGUGUUGGGAUGCCCUAACUUGGGAACUUCUGACCUGGACCCUCUUGUUGUGACUUGAGGAGAUACUGAUUCACCUUGCUCUGGCAGCUCUCCGUGGCCUGGAAGAGAUGACACACUGCACAAGGUGAGUCAGCCCUGCCUCUUCUCAGGCUCAGGUCCGGUCUCUCCUUUUCGGACUCUAAGGUCUGAUGAGGACAGUGAGGAAUAGCUGUGAAACUUAGUAUUCAGUUGGUUCCAUUUUUAAUGUAUAUGAUUUUUAAGCACCCAAACUUAAAAGUAUCUAUCAGAUAAUACUGCAUGUUUUAAAAACAUUUUUCCUCUUUCACUACCCAGGACCAACACUGUUCUAAGACAUUAUUUAUAUAUGAGGAUGAUAAUAUGCAUAUUCUGAUGUAGAAUUUAAGGACAGCUUUUGAAGCAGGGAAGACAGCUGAUGAGGGUGGAGUGAAUGGGAUGGGCUGGUGGUAAACUAGAUUUGUUUAGUUGUGUAGUUGCACAUUGUGCACUCUUGCUGAGGGUCUGUUUCUGUCUGUACCAUCACUCCGGAUUUGCAUUGUGGAACACCUGUAUAAAGCCAUUAUAGGAAGAAGUGAUCCUCAUGCCUGGUUUUUCCAUUACUUGUUUUUGGGAGCAUUCUUUGAAAAUAUGCUCAGCCAAAUGUUCCAUGAACUUUUGUUUUAAAGAAAAAUAGGUGUGAACGGUGAUAGCAUUGUAGCUAGCUCAGUAGGCUGUCUUCUGUUGCAGCCAUGUCUGUCAUUUGAUGUUUGUUAUUGGUAGAAUCAUGCUUUGAAUUGUAACUCUUCCUUGAUAGUGUUAGUGAUUUCCCCAGAACCUGUCACUUGUGUUAAUUGUCACAUAAGUUUGGAUGAGCCAGGAGUGCAGGAGCGUGCCUUUCACUUCUUUAUGCAGUUAGGAAUUGAAACUUUACACUUCAGUGACUGACCUCAAUGUGGGCAGCAAACCUAUCCUCUUGUUGAAGAAAGGGCAGCUGACUCUGACACUCUGGCUUUUUGUAGUCCACUCUUGCUUGCUCUCACCUGGAGGUUCUUCACUGUGGGAACUUUAAACAUGCAAACCAAAAAGUGGCCCAUCUGCCAAGCUUUGGUUUUGCUAGUUUCUGAGAGGGGUUUUGACCUCAUACUAAUAGUUACUAAAUAGUGAUUGUGAGGACUUAGGCAUGACAACAUUGUUUGACAUAAAGUAUGGUUAGGAAGUAACACCUCUCUAAAGGCAACACUGUUUGAGACAAACAUUUCUGAAAAGUCCCAGAGAGGAGUUCUUGUAAUUGAGGCAUCAAGUUAAAAUGAGGUCGCUUUGGAUAAUUCGAGCAGCAGAAUGUCCUUGUUCUUGGACUAUGGAAGGCAAAGGACUUGUGCUGUCUGUACUCUGCUUGUUGAGAAGCAGCCAGUGGCUGAACCUGAGUAGGUGGGUUAAAGUAUCUGUGCCUCAUGACACAGACGGUUGUAAAAAUCUGAAGUGUAUUUUAUCAGCUACCUGGAUGUCAGUGCACACAGACGUGCACUCUUCUCAUGACUGCAACAGUGAUCGGGAAGAGGAAAACCCUCAACUCUGCCUUUGGCUCUGUGAACUAAUUUCAGUUCAGAUUCUAAGCUGUGCUCACUCCCAUUUUGAAAGUGCACAGCUGGAUAUCCUCUGACAGCCCCUCGCUUUGUACAUACACUGAGGGGCUUUCUUUGAAGUUUCUAGCAGACCUGCCAGAGAUGGGCCAGGCGUACAGCAGCCCCUUUCUCAAGCCUGGGAUCUGGGACAAACCCUACAGUGACAAUGCCGAUAUAUUGACUACUACAAAUGUAAAGUAAAUGUGGUCUCUAGUCCUAGGUUUGUAGAGUGUACCCUGUGUUAAUGUGUAGGGAAGGGACAGCCGUUUGAAGGUUUGGGGGAGUGUAUCGUUGAUGUAUCUGCAGGGGCGAAUGCUGCUAAAUUACAGCUUCCCAGCUUUCCUUUAGGGGUGAAUCAUGGGAUGAGUAGCCUCAUCAGAGAUGUGAAGGCGUGAAGAGGCAGGCCUGCUAGGUGAGGACACAGGCAGGCUUCGCACCUCUUUUUCCAUCAGGUAUUGUAAAAUGUGUGCAUGACUUUUGUUGUUGUUGCUCAGUAAUUGGUAGAUGAAGAGAUGAGGGGACCUCUCCCCGCAAGCUUUCCUAACCAGUCUUUUCAGAGGAACAUAGCUGGAGUAAAGUCUGGCCUUCACCUACGGCAGGACCCUGUCCUCUAAUGCUCACCGCACCCUGCAGUCCUCGGGGCAGAGGAGCUACCUAGCUGUAGUCUAGUAAUUCACCGUGGUUUACUGCGAGCCAGUGAUGUCAUCCUAUCGUGCACUCUUGUCAAGCCAUUUAUGUGACUUUAAUAAGCUUAGUAACUUGCUGACCGCACCGGGGCCUAUCAGUGACUUAUAUAUUGCAUGAUGUCGUCUACUUGAGUUUGACAUGUAGAAUCACUUGAUUUCAUGGCAAUUGACAGUCCUAAUGGCUCAGCUAAUUUGAAACUAACAACUUUGCUGUGUAAAAGGAAAAAUGGUGUUGUGUUCAGUAAAUGUUUGAAAAAAAAAGC